Molecule: ribosomal RNA, 322 nt
Filed under: uncultured eukaryote
Lineage: Eukaryota
Description: partial 18S ribosomal RNA
Rfam family: Eukaryotic small subunit ribosomal RNA
Source: RNAcentral
CCCUUAGAUGUUCUGGGCCGCACGUGUGCUACACUGAGUGGAUCAGCGGGUCAGGUUGCGCGAAAGCGUUUCCUAAUCUUGAAAUCCGCUCGUGAUGGGGAUUGACGGUUGCAAUUUUCUGUCAUGAACGAGGAAUACCUUGUAAGCGCGAGUCAUCAUCCCGCGCUGAAUACGUCCCUGCCCUUUGUACACACCGCCCGUCGCUCCUACCGAUUGAGUGGUCCGGUGAGGCUUUGGGAUCUGAGCGGAAAGAGCGUUUCGCUCGUUCUGCCCGGAAAACUCAGUCGAACCUUAUCAUUUAGAGGAAGGAGAAGUCGUAACA